This 27-nucleotide non-coding RNA is filed under the name Homo sapiens (human). The record is from RNAcentral. Lineage: Eukaryota; Metazoa; Chordata; Mammalia; Primates; Hominidae.
UAUCUUGAAAGGAAACCAAGAUGUGCU